UCAGAGUGAACGCUGGCGGCAGGCCUAACACAUGCAAGUCGAACGGCAGCACAGUAAGAGCUUGCUCUUAUGGGUGGCGAGUGGCGGACGGGUGAGGAAUACAUCGGAAUCUACUCUUUCGUGGGGGAUAACGUAGGGAAACUUACGCUAAUACCGCAUACGACCUACGGGUGAAAGCGGAGGACCUUCGGGCUUCGCGCGAUUGAAUGAGCCGAUGUCGGAUUAGCUAGUUGGCGGGGUAAAGGCCCACCAAGGCGACGAUCCGUAGCUGGUCUGAGAGGAUGAUCAGCGACACUGGAACUGAGACACGGUCCAGAGUCCUACGGGAGGCAGCAGUGGGGAAUAUUGGACAAUGGGCGCAAGCCUGAUCCAGCCAUGCCGCGUGGGUGAAGAAGGCCUUCGGGUUGUAAAGCCCUUUUGUUGGGAAAGAAAAGCAGUCGGUUAAUACCCGAUUGUUCUGACGGUACCCAAAGAAUAAGCACCGGCUAACUUCGUGCCAGCAGCCGCGGUAAUACGAAGGGUGCAAGCGUUACUCGGAAUUACUGGGCGUAAAGCGUGCGUAGGUGGUGGUUUAAGUCUGUUGUGAAAGCCCUGGGCUCAACCUGGGAAUUGCAGUGGAUACUGGGUCACUAGAGUGUGGUAGAGGGUAGCGGAAUUCCCGGUGUAGCAGUGAAAUGCGUAGAGAUCGGGAGGAACAUCAGUGGCGAAGGCGGCUACCUGGACCAACACUGACACUGAGGCACGAAAGCGUGGGGGAGCAAACAGGAUUAGAUACCCUGGUAGUCCACGCCCUAAACGAUGCGAACUGGAUGUUGGGUGCAAUUUGGCACGCAGUAUCGAAGCUAACGCGUUAAGUUCGCCGCCUGGGGAGUACGGUCGCAAGACUGAAACUCAAAGGAAUUGACGGGGGCCCGCACAAGCGGUGGAGUAUGUGGUUUAAUUCGAUGCAACGCGAAGAACCUUACCUGGUCUUGACAUCCACGGAACUUUCCAGAGAUGGAUUGGUGCCUUCGGGAACCGUGAGACAGGUGCUGCAUGGCUGUCGUCAGCUCGUGUCGCGAGAUGUUGGGUUAAGUCCCGCACCCGAGCGCAACCCUUGUCCUUAGUUGCCAGCACGUAAUGGUGGGAACUCUAAGGAGACCGCCGGUGACAAACCGGAGGAAGGUGGGGAUGACGUCAAGUCAUCAUGGCCCUUACGACCAGGGCUACACACGUACUACAAUGGUAGGGACAGAGGGCUGCAAACCCGCGAGGGCAAGCCAAUCCCAGAAACCCUAUCUCAGUCCGGAUUGGAGUCUGCAACUCGACUCCAUGAAGUCGGAAUCGCUAGUAAUCGCAGAUCAGCAUUGCUGCGGUGAAUACGUUCCCGGGC
This 1372-nucleotide ribosomal RNA is filed under the name uncultured bacterium. Its description in RNAcentral is "bacterial SSU rRNA". It matches the Rfam family "Bacterial small subunit ribosomal RNA", at positions 24 to 1379 of the family's 1533-position model. The record is from RNAcentral.